RNAcentral lists this long non-coding RNA (8289 nucleotides) under Populus tremula. RNAcentral's name for it is "long non-coding RNA (PTRE_LNC003458)". Lineage: Eukaryota; Viridiplantae; Streptophyta; Magnoliopsida; Malpighiales; Salicaceae. The record is from RNAcentral.
CUAUUGCUUUUCUUCCAAUUUCUCUUCUCUUCCAAGGUUAGCUGAAUUCCCCUUCUCAAAUCCUCCUUCCUUCACUUGAUUUAGUGUUUUAUAGGUUUAACUUGCAAGUUUAUAAAGCUAUUCUCUCAAUUUCCUUAUUGUUUUUCCUUACUUUUCUCUCUAUCUCUCACGUUAUGCUCUGUUUUUCUUUUCAUCUUUUUGUUUCUGCCCAUUCGGCAGUUAAUAAAAGAGAAGGAGGGCUUAUAUAUUUUCUUUUCAAUGGCAAAUAACUAUUCUACCCCUAAUGAGUAUUUUUACCUCUAUUUGACGGUCCUUAUUUUUUUGCUAGCACUACCGAGCUCCAUUCAUCUUAAAAUUUUAACCAGGUUUUAUUCAGUAUAUUUUAAGGUUUCUCAUAAAAUUUCGGCUCAAUCCGAUGGUCGGAUUAAAAAUCACGUCCAAUAACGUAAAACUAGUCGAAUUGUGAUUUUUCGUCAAAUUUCCGAAUUUAUCUAAAAAUUCUGAAAUUUUAACCCAAGCUAAGGCAUGAUAUUAUAACACUCCACGCAAAUUUUCAGAAUUUUCUGAGCACCCAAUCAAGAAUUACGAAUUAUUUUGUUUUACCUAAAACUAGUCAAUUUAUGAUUUUUUCGUCAAAUUUCCGAAUUUCUCUAAAAAUUCUGAAAUUUUAACCCAAUAUAAGGCAUGAUAUUAGAACGCUCCACGCAAAUUUUCAGAAUUUUCUGAUCACCCAAUCAAGAGUUAUGAAUUAUUUUGUUUUACCUAAAACUAGUCAAUUUAUGAUUUUUUCGUCAAAUUUCCGAAUUUCUCUAAAAAUUAUGAAAUUUUAACCCAAUAUAAGGCAUGAUAUUAGAACGCUCCACGCAAAUUUUCAGAAUUUUCUGAUCACCCAAUCAAGAGUUAUGAAUUAUUUUGUUUUACCUAAAACUAGUCAAUUUAUGAUUUUUCACCUGGAGGUUUUACAUUCUCCCCUUCUAAAAAUAAAUUUCGUCCUCGAAAUUUAAAUUCAUACCUAUAUAAGAAAAUAAUCCAGGAUAUUUCUUCAUCAUUUCUGACUCUCUCUCCCAGGUUUCUUCUUCUAUUUGAGAGUUUCUCCACAAUACUUUUACUAACGGCACCCUUUUAUUUCGUAAUUCCUUUAUACUUCGGUCCAUAAUUUGCACAGGCUGUACCUCCAUAGUUAAAUCUUCCCGCACUUCCAUCGGAAUUUGUGGCAAAAUUCGUGUAGGAUCCAAAUUUGCUUUUCGCAGCAUCGAGACAUGGAACACAUUAUGUAUCCUAUCUAAAUUUUGUGGCAGCAGUACUCGAUAGGCAACCGUCCCAAUUCUUUCUAUAAUUUUAUAAGGCCCGAUAUACCUGGGUGCUAAUUUUCCUUUCAUUCCAAACCGAAUCACAUGCUUCCAUGGAGCAACCUUUAAAAAUACUGCAUCUCCAAUUUGAAACUCUAGAGGUCUCCGUCGAUUAUCUGCAUAGCUCUUUUGCCGGUCUUGAGCUUCUUUCAUCCUUUCCUUUAUCACCUUCACCUUAUCAACCGUGAUCUGCACCAGUUCAGGUCCCAAUAAUUUUCUUUCCCCAACUUCAUCCCAACAUACUGCAGUUCGACAUCUCCUUCCAUACAAUGCUUCAUAUGGUGCCAUUCCAAUAGUAGAUUGAUAACUAUUGUUAUAAGUAAAUUCUACUAAUGGCAAGUGAUCCUCCCAUUGACCUCCAAACUCUAGAAUACAAGACCGCAACAAAUCUUCUAAAAUUUGUAUUGUCCUUUCAGAUUGACCAUCAGUCUGUGGAUGAAAAGCUGUGCUUAGAUUCAAUCUGGUACCCAAAGCCCGUUGUAUACACGGCCAUAACCUUGAUGUAAACCGAGGAUCCCUAUCAGAAACUAUAGAAACUGGUACACCAUGUAAUCUCACCACCUCCUUAAUAUAUAAUUGAGCUAGUUUUUCAACCGAAUCCCCCAUCUUCAUAGGCAAAAACAAAGAAGACUUUGUCAGUCUAUCCACAAUCACCCAUAUAGCAUCGUGUCCUUUCCUACUUCUGGGUAGCCCAGACACAAAAUCCAUAGUGAUAUUCUCCCAUUUCCAUUCUGGAAUCGGAAGAGGCUGUAAUUCUCCAGCCGGUCGUUGAUGCUCUAUUUUCACCUGUUGACAUAUGGCACACUUGGCCACAUAUUCUGCUAUCUCCUUCUUCAUGUUUGGCCACCAGUAACUCUCCUUCAAAUUUCUAUACAUUUUCGUGCUCCCUGGAUGGAUCGCCAAUUUAGACUCAUGAGCUUCUUUUAAAACUUCACCUUUUAAAACCUUAUCAUCAGGUAAAUAUAUUCUUUUUCCCAUCACUACGAGCCCAUCAUUCGACACUCGAAAUGAAGAGUCUUGGCCGACUUUUACAUUACUCAUUUCUUUCUUUACUUCGGGAUCUUCACCUUGAACUUUUCGAAUCUUUUCUCUCAUAUCAGAUUGUAGCACUAACGUUGCCAGUAACAUUCCUUUUGAAGUCACAUUCAUGUGCACAUUUAGCCCACCAAGUUCCAAGAGUUCUCUAUCACCUCGCACUAGUAAGCCACCAAUAAAAGCUUUGUUCUUCCGACUCAGAGCAUCUGCCACCACAUUUGCUUUUCCCGGGUGAUAGUCAAUAAUACAAUCAUAAUCUUUGAUUAGCUCCAUCCAUCUCCUCUGACGCAUAUUCAAUUCUUUUUGUGACAUCAAGUAUUUUAAACUUUUGUGAUCUGUAAAAAUCUUUACCUGUACUCCGUACAGAUAAUGCCUCCAUAUCCUCAAAGCAAACACCACAGCUGCCAGCUCCAAAUCAUGUACUGGAUAGUUCACUUCAUGUGGUUUUAACUGUCUGGAUGCAUAGGCGAUUACCCUUCCAUGCUGCAUAAGUACACAACCCAAACCCUUACUGGAAGCAUCGCUAUACACGACAAAUCCCUCUUGUUCUUUUGGUAAAGCCAAUACUGGGGCUGAAGUUAGCCUGGAUUUUAACUCUUGAAAACUUGUUUCACACUCCUUUGACCAUUCAAACUUAACUUCCUUCCGAGUUAGCCGAGUCAUUGGAGAGGCUAUCGUGGAAAAUCCUUCUAUAAAUCUUCUAUAAUAUCCAGCUAAGCCCAAGAAACUACGAAUUUCAGUCACAUUUGUAGGUCUUUCCCAUCUCAAUACUGCUUCUAUCUUCUUCGGAUCCACACUGAUACCCUUCUCCGAUAUCACAUGACCCAAAAAUACUACUUCGUUCAGCCAAAAUUCACACUUACUCAGCUUCGCAUACAACUUAUUUCUCCUUAAGGUCUCUAACACUUCUCUCAAGUGAUUUGCAUGUUCCAUUUGUGAUGAAGAAUAUAUUAGUAUAUCAUCAAUAAACACUACUACAAACUUAUCCAGACAGGAUCGAAAAACCCGAUUCAUCAAAUCCAUAAAUAUCGCUGGAGCAUUAGUUAAUCCAAAAGGCAUCACCACAAACUCAUAAUGCCCGUAGCGAGUUCUAAAAGCUGUUUUCUUUAUAUCUUUCUCCUUUAUCAUCACCUGAUGAUACCCUGACCUCAAGUCUAUUUUUGAAAAUACACACGCCCCUUUUAACUGAUCAAACAAAUCAUCAAUUCGUGGAAGGGGGUACUUAUUUUUUAUAGUCACUUUAUUGAGCUGUCUAUAAUCUAUACAGAGCCGUAAAGUUCCAUCUUUCUUUUUAACAAACAGCACAGGAGCCCCCCAAGGUGAAACACUAGGGCGGAUAAACCCUUUAUCCAGCAAUUCUUGCAAUUGUAUUUUCAAUUCCACCAAUUCUGCAGGCGCCAUUCGAUACGGUGCCUGAGCUACUGGUGUAGUUCCAGGCAGUGUUUCUAUCGAAACUUCUACUUCUCUCUCAGGUGGUAACCCGGGUAAUUCCUUUGGAAAUACAUCUGGAAACUCUCUUACUGUAGGUAUUUUAUCUAACUCCAUUUCUUUCUUUUCCAAAUCUACUACAUAGGCAAGAUAAGCUGUACAUCCCUUUCUUAAUAGUUUCCUAGCUGUCAUGACCGAAAUUAUACUAUUUGGUAUGAUGUUCCUCUCUCCUCUAAACUCUACCCUCCUACCACCCUCAUCUUGGAGAGUUACCGUUUUAGUAAAACAAUCAAUUUGGGCUCUGUAUGUUACUAGCCAAUCCAUUCCUAAAAUCAUCUCAAAAUCAUAUAGGUCUAGUGGUAAUAAAUCUACCCUCAUUUCUACAUCUUCUAUUUUUACCCGACAACCCCUGUAAACAUACUCUAUAAGUACGGUUUCCCCUAAAGGUGUACCAAUUACUACCCCUUUUUCCACUCUCAUAGGUUGCACUUUCAAUUUAUCUUCCCAUUUUCUAGCUACAAAGGAGUGGGUAGCACCAGGAUCAAUCAAUGUAUAUACAUGUUGAGAUUCUAAUAGUAAAGUACCUGCAACAACAUCAGUGGCAGCUCGCACAUCUUCCUGAGUCAUACGAAAAACUCUCCCUUGAGCUCCCCCUCCUGGUACUCGAGGUCGACCUCGAACAGCACUAGUCCCAGACUGGGCAGGUCUACCCGGCCUGUCCACGGUCACAGACUGCUGCUGACUCUGUACUGAAAAACCCUGUCUCUGUGUCUGCCUUAUAGUCCUCUGGGGACACUCCCUCCUACGAUGCCCUGUCUCUCCACAAUGAUAACAUGCAGCAUCUAGAUAGGGGCAAUCCCUCCAUCUAUGUUCCUGUCUGCAUAUAUAACAUCUGCCAGAUGUGACCGAACAAUCUCCAGGAUGUUUACGAUCGCAUCUCACACACAGGGGAUAAGUAGUCAUCCUGGAGCCCUCUGCAACUCCUCCUGGUAAACUAGUCUGUGGGCGUGACCACCCUCCCUGUGAGCUCUGCAUAGGUCUACUCGAUGUACCCCCUGAUCCCAGAUUUCCUCCCUUCUUUCUGAACUGACCAAAAUGUCCUCCUUUUCCCUUUUUUGAAAAAGGAGGUCUCCCUGUAAAUGAUGCAGGCUCCUUACGCUUUUCUACUCCCAUAGUACCCUGUCCAUCACCUUCUCGCCGCCCUGCGGCUGCCACGGCCUCUAGAGACUGAGCGGCCACUAUAAAAUCUCUCACUGUCAGAAACUGCAAGGCAGCCAAUCCCAUCCUCAGCUCCUGUCGGAGUCCAUCUCGGAGUCUCUCUAUCCGAUGCUGCUCAGUCGGUAAAUAAACAGAAGCAAACAUAGAGAGGUCCUGAAACCGCCUCUCAUAUUCCAAUACUGUCAUGUCUCCCUGAGUAAGAGCCAAGAACUCCUGUUCUUUGAUCUUCCGAUGCUGUCGGGAAUAAUACUGGUUCUCAAACUCUAUCCUGAAAUCCCUCCAUCUAAGCGUCUCAGUAGCCCGUCUCUCUUUAACAAUAUCCCACCAUGUCUGGGCUCUGUCUGAUAAUAACUGAGUAGCACAAUCCACUCGGAGCUCUGCUGGUACUGCUAUUUGAUCCAUAGACCUCUCUAUCUUUCGUAACCAUCGCCCGGCUAUCUCAGCAUCCUCCUCUCCCAUAAAUGCCUCACAACCUAAUUCUCUUAGACUCUUUACCCAUCGAACUAAGGUGACCACAUUAUCCCUAGGGGUAGUACUCAAUGGUCCCGCCAUCUCUGUCAUCACUGCACGAACCAACUGUGCAAUAUAAGCUGGAUCUAGAUAUGGUGGAGGUGCUACCCCAGGGGGUGCCGCUGGUGCUACUGCAGGUGCUACUGUUGUGGGGGCUGAGUUCCCUGCCCAUCCCCCUCAAAUAUCCCCCGCUCAUCUCGGAGUCCAGAUGACUCUCCUUGUCCGGAUUGCACCGACCCGGCUGGCACAAAAGAUGCUGUAUCUACCAGAGGAUCUCUCUCUAGUCCUCUAUCUCCUGUCUCAACUAGACGCUCGUCCCUCAAGGGUGACGAGUCAGCUCUGGCUUCUUGUCGUGUACGCACCAUCCUGAAACAAUAUAUUUUUUUUUUACAUUAAUAAUGGUCUCCUGAACUUUAACCAUGCUCUGAUACCAAAAUGUAACAGUCUCAAAUCAUAAUGUCAUGAAAUCUCCAAACAUUUAUUCACCAAUGUCAAGUAUUGGAUAAUAUGUCUAAAAUUAUGGGAUUUUUUUUUUUUUGAAAAUUUCGGCAGAGUUUCCUCUGUUUUUAUUGGUACCAAGUUAUCGACAACACUUCUAAUAUAUAUCAUUGUGACUUCCAUCUUGAUCCAAUCAUCCUGGAUCACAUUUCAAUCAUCAAACAAUAACGCAAUACUUACUUAUCAAUUAAUAAUCAACAUAAAUGUACUCCCAAAGCAACCCAAAGGAUAAACAAAUUCAUCACAAACAUAAUAAAUGCUAACUAACUACAUAAAUACAACAUUAAGAUUAAGAGUCAUAUUAUGUUUAUAAUAAAUCUUAUCUUAUCAUUUUGAAAAUGAUUUGCUCAUACUAAUAACUAUACAUAUAUAUAUAUAUAUAUAUUACAUCCACUACCUAUUACACAUUCUACUUGAUUUUUGCAUCACAAAAGGAUUUACAUUGAAAGUAAAGACAUGAUAUUACAUUCCAAAAUGGUAAUUCAUAAACAGGAGAAUUCCUACAUCUAACGAUCUGCAUCACCUCGUGGCAUACCUGUUUCAACAACAACCAUAUUAAUUAACUUUAUCAUUAUAUUAAUCUAAUAUUAAAUAAUUACUCUUAACCUUUGAAAUUUAGUACUUCCACUUCAAUCUAACUUACUCCUAUAAUUUACAUAAUCUUUUUAGGAUUUAAAAAUCCCACUAAUUCCUCUUAAUUACCAAAUACAUCUAACACUUCCAUAUAGAUACCCAAAAUUCAUUUUUUUCUUCCUCGGUUACCAAUAGACCCAGUAAUUCCAUUCGAAUUACCUAUCAUCCAGCUAACCUCUUUUGUUAGCCAAUCAAUCCGGUAAUUCCAUAUGAAUUACUCCUUAUCCAGUUAACCUCUUUGUUAACCAAUAAACCCGGUAAUUCUCUUUAUUACCCAAAAAUCCGACUAACCCAUUUCGGUUAGCAAAAUCAAUCCGGUAAUUCCAUAUGAAUCACCCAGUAUCCGGCUAAUCUCUUUUGUUAGCCAAUCAAUCCGGUAAUUCCAUUCGAAUUACCUAGCAUCCGACUAAUCUCUUGUAUUAGUCAAACAAUCCGGUAAUUCCAUACGAAUUACCCCAUAUCCGGUUAACCUCUUUGUUAACCAAUAAAACCGGUAAUUUCACAUAAUCAUAACUCAAAUUAUUCCUUUGCUCCAUUCAUUUAAUAUCAAUUAAAUAAGCAACAUAGAUAAUUAGGAAAACUAAAAAUACAAAAUGAGGUGACGAAUUCACCUACCUUCUGUUCGGGAUGACCCAGCUCCUCCUGUCUGAUAACCAGCUCCAGACACAACUCCUGAAUCAAUCAAGUGUCAUUAUAUCAUUAGUCCAUCAAUAUUUUUUUCUUAUGUGCAACAUAAAGCACAUAAUAUUUUUAUUAGUAAUUUGUUCUAAUAAAAAUUCAUUCUCAAAUAUAACAUCAUUAUUUUACAUACAACCUCAUAUUUAACUCAAGUUACUUCUUUGUUUUCUCUAUGUUCAUAAUUCCUCCAUCGAAUAAUUCUUCUAUUCUUUAUACCCUCACAUCAUAUUAUUUAUUUUAUUUAAAUACUAUAUUCAAACACAAUCUAGGCAUCUUGUCUUCAUAUUUUCUUUUAACUAGUUUAUUUCUCUUUUAAUUUGAAUUUACAUAUUAUUAUUUUCUCAACUUAAAUGCUAUCUCUUCAUUUAGUCUUUCUUACAUUUUCAUUUAUCAUGAUUAAACAUGGUUUUUUUCUAAACAUUAACAUCAAAACUCAUUCUCCCAUUUUUUUUUUUUUCCCCUUCAUUGGCCGAAUGUGAUGGUUCUUUUUCCUCCCCCAAAUCUUUCUUCAUUUACUUGUUAUUUCAACUUGUUUUCAUUCUAUUCCUCUUCAAUUUCAUCAUUUUCCCUUCCCCUCCUAAUUCCCCAAAUUCACAUAAGAACCCUAAGUUCAAUAAUCUAGGAUUUAAGGGAAACUAAGGUAAAGUUCCAUGAAAUUACUUCCUAAUUUAAUCAAAUAAGCUUAGGAAAAACAUCUAAAUCAACAUUAAAUCCAAACUUCUCAUGCUUACCUAUUGCUUUUCUUCCAAUUUCUCUUCUCUUCCAAGGUUAGCUGAAUUCCCCUUCUCAAAUCCUCCUUCCUUCACUUGAUUUAGUGUUUUAUAGGUUUAACUUGCAAGUUUAUAAAGCUAUUCUCUCAAUUUCCUUAUUGUUUUUCCUUACUUUUCUCUCUAUCUCUCACGUUAUGCUCUGUUUUUCUUUUCAUCUUUUUGUUUCUGCC